Long non-coding RNA from Zonotrichia leucophrys gambelii, 1814 nucleotides. RefSeq lists it as uncharacterized. NCBI's taxonomy places the organism in Eukaryota, Metazoa, Chordata, Aves, Passeriformes, Passerellidae. The transcript is spliced from 3 exons. The record is from RefSeq and is a predicted model, not a curated record.
GGCAGGCAGGGCUGUCCCAGGGAUGUGCUGGGCAUUGCUGGGCAGGCAGGGCUGUCCCAGGGGAUGUGCUGCCCUGCAGCCAAGCCAGGAGCCUCACAUCCAGGAAUCAGGAAUGCAGCCACGGCUGGGAAUGCCAGGCUGGAUCUGCACCAAACUUUGACACUGCAGAGGAUGCUGAGGUCACAGCAGGCUCUGAGCCCCAGCUCCUGCUCUUGGUGUGCCCCACACACCUCCCACACUGAUGGGCCUUGACCACAGAGGAGUUGCACACAAACACACACCACAAGAAAGAAGCCCUUGAAGAAGAAAUGCUGAGAUAAAGCUGCACCUCCAGUGCUGCAGGAGCCCUGCAUUGUGCUCAGAGCUGGGUGAGACCUGACCCAAAACCACACAGCUGAAGGCAGACAGCAGCAGCCACACUUGGCUUCACCAUCACCACAACCAGUGGGGACAUGGGGGAUGCAGAGCCAUGCUGCAGCUCAGGCUCUACAGGCAGGAUGGUGCAUCCCUGCCCAGGAGAGUGCACUGACUCAUCCCUCUGCCCCUGGGCUUCUCUGCCAGCUGUACAAACGAGUGAGAAGGAUGGGAGCCUGACCGACCGAGCUGAACCGUGUGCGUACUGCAGGAUGGCAGCAGCUCCCACCUCUAUGGCAGAGGAUCAGCUCAUCUGGACCUUCACAAAGACAAAGGUGCAGCUGGGCUGUCUCAGUUGGUGCUGGUGUGGCCACUUGUUGACGUUGUUCAUGCAGGAUUAGCUCAUUUCCCUUGGCAGCCCUCCUGCAGGAGCACAGACACUCUCCCCACUCGCAGGCGCAGCUGGAGGCCGGGCAGUGUUGACACAGGAAGCCUACAGCAAAAACUCAAAACAAAACAAAACCCACACCCCAGCCCUCCCAGCCACCUCCUCACAAAUGCUUUGCCUUCCCGAGGCAGUUACCAGCAGUCUGCAGAGAUGUUUCCCAGAUGUUAUCCUGGGCUCUGAACUGACUCCUGUAAAUCAAGGAUCACCCCUGGAACUUGGAUGGCAGCUCUUCCUCAGCACCCACAAAUUCCUUCCUCUCUUUUUGACUCUGUGACUAGCUGAAGAAACUUUCCUGCAGCUCUCAGAAGCCCCCUACAUCUCCAAACUGAUGUCCAUCAGGUUUUCCCCUAAAAUCAGGGAAACCCCUGGUUUUCCUCCAGCCCAGCCAGCACUCUCCCCUUGGCCACGGCAAGGACAUCACCCCACAAAGCCCAGCAGCAGUGCAGGCACCCCGAGCUGCCAGCAGCACCCAUUCCCCUGUGCCAGCACUGCAGAAAGGGCAGCAGUGAGAUCCCAGCCAGGCCAGGGAGCAGGGACAGCACAGCCAGCAGCUCUCCUCUGCUUGAGCCAGCAAAACGUGUGCCUGCGGGGAUUUACAGAGUGAAUGCAGCAUGACGUAGGGUGGUGAUGUUUUCAGGCUCUUUAGGAAACUCCAGCCACGUGCCACAUUACCCUGAAAUCGCCCCAUAUUUCAACAUGCAUCAUUUAUCUUUCUCCAAUGAGAUUUUUUAAAAAAUAUUUAUGUUUAGGAAUGCACUGAACUGGAAUAGAAAUAAAAUGAAUUACAGUAACGUCAUGGCAAAAGUAGACUAAUUUAACAUUUCAAAGCAAAAAUAUUUUUUAACAUACCUCUUUUAGAAAAAUAGGCCAAUGUGUGCAGAAAGAGACCCCAAAAUGUCAUCUACAACAAGUGACCUACAAAGCACCUGUAACAAGUGAACUACAAAGAGCACAAUACAUGCAGGAGAAAUUUCUGAAAUUCUCCAUGAAAAAUAAAUUUUAAAAGUGAUAA